GAUGAACGCUAGCUACAGGCUUAACACAUGCAAGUCGAGGGGAAACGACAUCGAAAGCUUGCUUUUGAUGGGCGUCGACCGGCGCACGGGUGAGUAACGCGUAUCCAUCCUGCCCAUCACUUGGGAAUAACCUUGCGAAAGUAAGACUAAUACCCAAUGAUAUCCCACGAAGGCAUCGGAAUGGGAUUAAAGAUUUAUCGGUGAUGGAUGGGGAUGCGUCUGAUUAGCUUGUUGGCGGGGUAACGGCCCACCAAGGCAACGAUCAGUAGGGGUUCUGAGAGGAAGGUCCCCCACAUUGGAACUGAGACACGGUCCAAACUCCUACGGGAGGCAGCAGUGAGGAAUAUUGGUCAAUGGGCGAGAGCCUGAACCAGCCAAGUAGCGUGCAGGAAGACGGCCCUAUGGGUUGUAAACUGCUUUUAUAAGGGAAUAAAGUGGGUCACGUGUGACUUUUUGCAUGUACCUUAUGAAUAAGGACCGGCUAAUUCCGUG
This 492-nucleotide ribosomal RNA is filed under the name uncultured bacterium. Its description in RNAcentral is "partial 16S ribosomal RNA". It matches the Rfam family "Bacterial small subunit ribosomal RNA", at positions 28 to 507 of the family's 1533-position model. The record is from RNAcentral.